GAUGAACACUAGCUACAGGCUUAACACAUGCAAGUCGAGGGGUAACGAGAGGAAAGCUUGCUUUCCUUGUCGACGACCGGCGCACGGGUGAGUAACGCGUAUCCAACCUGCCCCCAACUAGGGAAUAACCUUGCGAAAGUAAGACUAAUACCCUAUAAUUUCCUCAGAUGUCAUCUGACGAGGAAUAAAGAUUUAUCGGUUGUGGAUGGGGAUGCGUCUGAUUAGCUUGUUGGCGGGGUAACGGCCCACCAAGGCAACGAUCAGUAGGGGUUUUGAGAGGAAGGUACCCAACAUUGGAACGGAGACACGGUCCAAACUCCUACGGGAGGCAGCAGUGAGGAAUAUUGGUCAAUGGGCGGAAGCCUGAACCAGCCAAGUAGCGUGCAGGAUGACGGCCCUAUGGGUUGUAAACUGCUUUUAUACAGGAAUAAAGUUAGCCACGUGUGGUUAUUUGUAGGUACUGUAUGAAUAAGGACCGGCUAAUUCCGUGCCAGCCGCCGCAGUAA
Molecule: ribosomal RNA, 506 nt
Filed under: uncultured bacterium
Lineage: Bacteria
Description: partial 16S ribosomal RNA
Rfam family: Bacterial small subunit ribosomal RNA
Source: RNAcentral